Molecule: ribosomal RNA, 621 nt
Filed under: uncultured bacterium
Lineage: Bacteria
Description: bacterial SSU rRNA
Rfam family: Bacterial small subunit ribosomal RNA
Source: RNAcentral
UGAUCAUGCGUUCCAUUAGCUGGUUGGCGGGGUAACGGCCCACCAAGGCGACGAUGGAUAGGGGUUCUGAGAGGAAGGUCCCCCACACUGGUACUGAGACACGGACCAGACUCCUACGGGAGGCAGCAGUGAGGAAUAUUGGUCAAUGGGCGGAAGCCUGAACCAGCCAAGUCGCGUGAAGGAAGACUGCCCUACGGGUUGUAAACUUCUUUUGUAUGGGAGUAAAAGAGUCCACGUGUGGGCUAUUGCAAGUACCAUACGAAUAAGCAUCGGCUAACUCCGUGCCAGCAGCCGCGGUAAUACGGAGGAUGCGAGCGUUAUCCGGAUUUAUUGGGUUUAAAGGGUGCGUAGGCGGCCCUAUAAGUCAGCGGUGAAAUGUUCCGGCUCAACCGGGAAACUGCCGUUGAAACUGUAGGGCUAGAGUCCACAAGAGGUAUGCGGAAUGCGUGGUGUAGCGGUGAAAUGCAUAGAUAUCACGCAGAACCCCGAUUGCGAAGGCAGCAUACUGGGGUGAAACAGACGCUGAAGCACGAAAGCGUGGGUAUCGAACAGGAUUAGAUACCCUGGUAGUCCACGCCGUAAACGAAGAAUACUAACUGUUUGCGAUAUACAGUAAGCGGU